GUGGAUUAGAUACCCUGGUAGUCCUAGCCGUAAACGAUGGGCACUGGGUGUGGGGGGUCAUCAACUCCCUCCGUGCCGCAGCUAACGCAUUAAGUGCCCCGCCUGGGGAGUACGGCCGCAAGGUUAAAACUCAAAGGAAUUGACGGGGGCCCGCACAAGCAGCGGAGCAUGUGGCUUAAUUCGACGCAACGCGAAGAACCUUACCAAGGCUUGACAUGCAGGGAAAUCUGGCGGAAACGUCAGGUGCGAAAGCGUCCUGCACAGGUGGUGCACGGCUGUCGACAACU
RNAcentral lists this ribosomal RNA (287 nucleotides) under uncultured bacterium. Its description in RNAcentral is "partial 16S ribosomal RNA". It matches the Rfam family "Bacterial small subunit ribosomal RNA", at positions 773 to 1060 of the family's 1533-position model. The record is from RNAcentral.